This 253-nucleotide ribosomal RNA is filed under the name uncultured bacterium. RNAcentral describes it as "partial 16S ribosomal RNA". It matches the Rfam family "Bacterial small subunit ribosomal RNA", at positions 524 to 776 of the family's 1533-position model. The record is from RNAcentral.
UACGAAGGGGGCGAGCGUUGUUCGGAUUUACUGGGCGUAAAGGGCGCGCAGGCGGCGCAUUUUGUCAGGCGUGAAAGCCCCGGGCUUAACCUGGGAACUGCGUUUGAUACGGAUGGGCUAGAGUUCGGGAGAGGAGAGUGGAAUUCCCAGUGUAGAGGUGAAAUUCGUAGAUAUCCGGAGGAACACCGGUGGCGAAGGCGGCUUCCUGGACCGACACUGACGCUGAGGCGCGAAAGCUAGGGGAGCAAACAGG